AUACGUAGGGGGCGAGCGUUGUCCGGAAUGAUUGGGCGUAAAGGGCGCGUAGGCGGCCCGGUAAGUCUGGAGUGAAAGUCCUGUUUUUAAGAUGGGAAUUGCUUUGGAUACUGUCGGGCUUGAGUGCAGGAGAGGUAAGUGGAAUUCCCAGCGUAGCGGUGAAAUGCGUAGAGAUUGGGAGGAACACCAGUGGCGAAGGCGACUUACUGGACUGUAACUGACGCUGAGGCGCGAAAGUGUGGGGAGCAAACAGGAUUAGAUACCCUGGUAGUCCACACAGUAAACGAUGAAUGCUAGGUGUAGGGGGUAGCGACCCCUUCUGUGCCGCAGGCAACACAAUAAGCAUUCCGCCUGGGGAGUACGGCCGCAAGGUUGCAACUCAAAUGAAUUGACGGGG
This 397-nucleotide ribosomal RNA is filed under the name uncultured bacterium. RNAcentral's name for it is "partial 16S ribosomal RNA". It matches the Rfam family "Bacterial small subunit ribosomal RNA", at positions 523 to 918 of the family's 1533-position model. The record is from RNAcentral.